CAACGCGAAGAACCUUACCUGGGCUUGACAUGUACGUAGUAGUGAAGGGAAACCGGAACGAGCCUUCGGGCAGCGUAGACAGGUGCUGCAUGGCUGUCGUCAGCUCGUGUUGUGAAAUGUUGGAUUAAGUCCCGCAACGAGCGCAACCCUUAUCCUUUGUUGCCAGCGGUCCGGCCGGGAACUCAAAGGAGACUGCCAGUGAUAAACUGGAGGAAGGUGGGGAUGACGUCAAGUCAUCAUGGCCCUUACGACCAGGGCUACACACGUGCUACAAUGGCGCAUACAAAGAGAAGCGACCUCGCGAGAGCAAGCGGACCUCAUAAAGUGCGUCGUAGUCCGGAUUGGAGUCUGCAACUCGACUCCAUGAAGUCGGAAUCGCUAGUAAUCGUGGAUCAGAAUGCCACGGUGAAUACGUUCCCGGGCCUUGUACACAC
RNAcentral lists this ribosomal RNA (434 nucleotides) under uncultured bacterium. RNAcentral describes it as "bacterial SSU rRNA". It matches the Rfam family "Bacterial small subunit ribosomal RNA", at positions 957 to 1390 of the family's 1533-position model. The record is from RNAcentral.